Molecule: ribosomal RNA, 1423 nt
Filed under: metagenome
Description: bacterial SSU rRNA
Rfam family: Bacterial small subunit ribosomal RNA
Source: RNAcentral
AGAGUUCGAUCCUGGCUCAGGAUGAACGCUGGCGGCAUGUUUAAGGCAUGCAAGUCGAACGAUCCCUUCGGGGAUAGUGGCAAACGGGUGAGUAACACAUUGGCAACCUGCCUCCGACUGGGGGAUAGCUCCGGGAAACCGGAAUUAAUACCGCAUAAAUUCUACUGUCUUAUGUCAGUAGAGGAAAGCUCCGGCGGUUGGAGAGGGGCCUAUGGCUUAUCAGCUUGUUGGUGGGGUAAUGGCCCACCAAGGCUAUGACGAGUAGCGGGUGUGAGAGCACGACCCGCCUCACUGGGACUGAGACACUGCCCAGACUCCUACGGGAGGCUGCAGUCGAGAAUCUUCCUCAAUGGACGAAAGUCUGAAGGAGCAAUGCCGCGUGAUUGAUGAAGUCCUUAGGGAUGUAAAGAUCUUUUUUCAACGAAGAACUAAUGACGGUAGUUGAAGAAUAAGGGGUUGCUAACUCUGUGCCAGCAGCAGCGGUAAUACAGAGACCCCGAGCGUUAUCCGGAUUUAUUGGGCGUAAAGCGUACGCAGACGGUUUGCUAAGUCUGUGGUUAAAUCUUUGGGCUUAACUCAAAGACUGCCAUGGAAACUGACAAACUAGAGGGUGGAAGAGGCCAACGGAAUUGCCAGUGUAACGGUUAAAUGUGUUAAUAUUGGCAAGAACACCAGAUGCGAAGGCGGUUGGCUGGUACACUCCUGACGUUCAGGUACGAAAGCGUGGGUAGCGAAUGGGAUUAGAUACCCCAGUAGUCCACGCCGUAAACGAUGGAUACUAGUCAUUGGCAGUAUCGACCCUGCCAGUGGCGGUUAAAAUAGCUAACGCAUUAAGUAUCCCGCCUGGGAAGUACGGCCGCAAGGCUAAAACUCAAAGGAAUUGACGGGGGCCCGCACAAGCGGUGGAUCAUGUGGUUUAAUUCGACGCUAAGCGGAAAACCUUACCAAGGUUUGAAAUGUAGCUGCAAGCUUCGGGAAACCGAAGCCGCCUUCGAGGGUGCUACACAGGUGCUGCAUGGUUGUCGUCAGCUCGUGUCGUGAGAUGUCGGGUUAAGUCCUUUAACGAGCGCAACCCUCAUUCUAUGUUAUAUAUCCAUAGAAAACUGCCCUGCUCAACGGGGAGGAAGGUGGGGAUGACGUCAAAUCAGCAUGGCUCUUACACCUUGGGCAACACACGUGAUACAAUGGCCGGUACAAAAGGCCGCUAAGUGGCAACACGGAGCAAAUCCUUUAAAACCGGUCCCAGUUCGGAUUGGGGUCUGAAAUUCGACCCCAUGAAGUUGGAAUCGCUAGUAACCGUGAAUCAGCACGUCACGGUGAAUACGUUCCCGGGCCUUGUACACACCGCCCGUCAUACCAAGGGAGCUGAUAAUACCCGAAGGCUGCACUAGUUGCGGACGAAGGUAGGAUCAGUGACAGGGGU